This 207-nucleotide ribosomal RNA is filed under the name uncultured bacterium. RNAcentral's name for it is "partial 16S ribosomal RNA". It matches the Rfam family "Bacterial small subunit ribosomal RNA", at positions 116 to 334 of the family's 1533-position model. The record is from RNAcentral.
CGUGACUAACCUACCCAGGAGUGGGGGGAGUAACUGAGGGAAACCUUAAGCUAAUACCGCAUAACACCUACGGGUCAAAGGAGCAAUUCGCUUCUGGAGGGGGUCGCGGCCGAUUAGUUAGUUGGCAGGGUAAUGGCCUACCAAGACGAUGAUCGGUAUCCGGCCUGAGAGGGCGCACGGACACACUGGAACUGAAACACGGUCCAG